This 291-nucleotide ribosomal RNA is filed under the name uncultured bacterium. Its description in RNAcentral is "partial 16S ribosomal RNA". It matches the Rfam family "Bacterial small subunit ribosomal RNA", at positions 28 to 295 of the family's 1533-position model. The record is from RNAcentral.
GAUGAACGCUGGCGGCGUGCUUAACACAUGCAAGUCGAACGAAGAUGAUUAGAAUGAGAGCUUCGGCAGGAUUUCUUUUCAUCUUAGUGGCGGACGGGUGAGUAACGUGUGGGCAACCUGCCCUAUACUGGGGAAUAAUCACUGGAAACGGUGACUAAUACCGCAUGUCAUCACGGAAGGGCAUCCUUCUGUGAGAAAAGGAGACAAUUCGGUAUAGGAGUCGGGGCCCGCAUCUGAUUAGCUAGUUGGUGUGAUAACAGCCCACAAGGCGACGAUCAGUAGCCGACCUGA